CCCCAAAGAUGAAAAUUCUUAACCCAUAUCAAACAGUAACUUUUCCACCUUCUAAUGUAGAUUCUAUGUCUAGGAGUCCAUGGACAAUGCUAAUUAUUUGCAUGAGCAAGAACCAUACAGCCAAUAAGUUAUACCUUUUCAUGUAUCACAGCCUGCCCUUCUCUUGCCAAAAGUGAACUUCGUGGCACUACUUCUUGAUGGGUGUAUGUUAUGUGGAGAGAAAGACAAUUAAACUCCAUCACAUAUUAACAGAACAUAAAUCAUUUUAUAAGAGCUUGCCAUAUAGACAGGAUGAAGUUUGAGCAUCAGAACCCUUAAAUUCAAGUCCUGCUUUUGCAUGUGCAGCAUGCAUAUGAGAGAGAGAGAGAGAGAGAGAGAGAGAGAGAGAGGCGGGGGAGGGGGGGGAGGUUGCUUUUAACAUACACAGGCAUGCAAGCACACACACACAUAUAGAUUACAUUGUAAAAGAACCAACAAGCAAUACAGGACAAGAAAUUUAGUUCCACAAAAAUAUGCCCACAAAGCACUACCUGUGAUAUGAACAUCCCUUCUGAAACUUUACUUUAGGAGAUGACCAGGCCAAAGCGAAUGCAACAGUGCA
Molecule: long non-coding RNA, 601 nt
Filed under: Elaeis guineensis (African oil palm)
Lineage: Eukaryota; Viridiplantae; Streptophyta; Magnoliopsida; Arecales; Arecaceae
Description: long non-coding RNA (EGUI_LNC011427)
Source: RNAcentral